UUUUUGUUUAACUUAUUGUUUUAGAAUGAGUUAAAGAUCAAAAAACCCCAGAGUUGAUUGCUUUUUGAUUCGGAUAGGCUUUUGAUUCGCAUCAAAAUACUAUCUUAAUCUCCGACAAUUAACAAUAGAAUGAAUGAAAAAUAAAAUGAAGCGAAGCUUACUUUUGUCAAGGUAUAAUAUACUGUAUUCGCAUACACUAUACAACACCCAACAAAAAUAAGCAACUCUUCCCAAUAAGUUUUCGGUUCGCGGGUCAAAAAUGAUUUGAAAAAAGACUGAAGAAUGAGAGUUACCACACCCUCCAACCAAUUCACAAACCAAAUAUAAGGGAUUGUGGUAAUGAUCCUUCCGCAGGUUCACCUACGGAAA
RNAcentral lists this unclassified non-coding RNA (369 nucleotides) under uncultured fungus. RNAcentral's name for it is "sequence contains ITS1". Lineage: Eukaryota; Fungi. The record is from RNAcentral.